UGGGGAAUUUGGACAAUGGGCGCAAGCCUGAUCCAGCCAUGCCGCGUGUGGGAAGAAGGCCUUCGGGUUGUAAACCGCUUUUGUCAGGGAAGAAAUCUUCUGAGUUAAUACCUCGGGAGGAUGGCGGUACCUGAAGAAUAAGCACCGGCUAACUACGUGCCAGCAGCCGCGGUGAUACGUAGGGUGCAAGCGUUAAUCGGAAUUACUGGGCGUAAAGCGUGCGCAGGCGGUUUUGUAAGACAGAGGUGAAAUCCCCGGGCUCAACCUGGGAACUGCCUUUGUGACUGCAAGGCUUGAGUGCGGCAGAGGGGGAUGGAAUUCCGCGUGUAGCAGUGAAAUGCGUAGAUAUGCGGAGGAACACCGAUGGCGAAGGCAAUCCCCUGGGCCUGCACUGACGCUCAUGCACGAAAGCGUGGGGAGCAAACAGGAUUAGAUACCCUGGUAGUCCACGCCCUAAAACGAUGUCAACUGGUUGUUGGGAAGGUUCCUUCUCAGUAACGUAGCUAACGCGUGAAGUUGACCGCCUGGGGGAGUACGGCCGCAAGGUUGAAAACUCAAAUGAAUUGACGGGGUCAUAGCUGUUUCCUG
Molecule: ribosomal RNA, 588 nt
Filed under: uncultured bacterium
Lineage: Bacteria
Description: partial 16S ribosomal RNA
Rfam family: Bacterial small subunit ribosomal RNA
Source: RNAcentral